CUUACCUUAAAGUGUAUCUCUUACAGGCUUCUUAAAUUUAAAAUUCAUGUAGUCCACUGGGCAUUGAUUCUUGUUUAUUUUAUUUCAAAUUUGACAUCUCGCCAUAUUGUCUCCUUCUUCUUCCGUGAUUAUUGAUCGACUUAAAUUAAGUCAAGUAGAGUCUGCGCGGUACAGUGUUGCCCGAUUGUGCAUAGCAUUUUUAAUGUUGAAAACUCCCGAUUAUGACAUCGUCUUAUUUUAGUUAGUUAAUUUACACUUAGAAUAUAGUAUUAUAGCCUUCCGUUGCAUUGUUGUAUCAGGAAAAACCAAUAUUUUCAAUUAUUUCCGACAUGCUUGACUGUGAUUGGCAGAGCUAUUGUCCAAUCACACUAUGAUUAGUUUCCAGGGGGGGUUUUUCCGCGCGUUUUCUGGGUGGAAAGACAGGAGAAGGUUAGAUUUUUUGGAGGGUGUGUGUGAAUUGGUGGCCAGUGAAAAAUCUAUGAUUUCUGAAAUCAUCUUUAAUUAGGAGCAAUUUUUGUGGCCAUUUAUCAAGAAUUUAGGGGUAUAUAGUGCUGUGGAUUAUAGUAUUUUUGGUGUAAACCCCUUAUUCUGACUUCUUAUGAAGGAUCACUGACACCACGCCGUGUGAAAAUCGUAUCCCCAGGAAAACGAAUUGAGAUACCAUAAGGUCCGUAUUCGUCUGUCCGCAUACGCAGAUAGCCUACAAGCGGCAAGUUUUAUAAAGAACCCCUUAGUUAAGGGGUUUUUUUUUGGGGACCACACACUCUUGGAAUAUUUCCUGAAAGCUUGAUUCCUUUUGUUUUUGAAGCUGGUCUUCUACGUAACAGCAUUUGGAACACUGUUGACGUUCCUGUACGUAUUCAAAUAUCUCCUGUGACAGUCUCAGCCAAGCAUUACGCAAUCGGUGCUACCACGUCUACCAUCAUUCGUCAUCCCAUAGGAGUUUUGGUACAGUUCCAUGGAAGAUCCUCUACCAGACAUAUUUCUUGGAUAAUAAAGGAUAUCACGCAAGUUUUUGAAACAAACAUUUCGCUUUUAUUUUUUUUGCUCUAUGCUUAAAUUUUGAUCGUAACAUUAAAUUAUUAGUAUUGGUAAUUUGCUAUUGCUUAGUAACAUUUAUUAUUUGCUUAGCUUUACUGGCUUAGAUCCGAUUGUUUGCAUGUUUGCGCUUUUGUUAAUAUUCUUUAUUUAUUGGCCAUAUUGGCACAUUUACAUUGUUGUUUUUUUUUUUAUAUAUUUUCUCUUAUUUUUCCGCUUUAUUGACUAGAUUAAUUGACAGCAUUUUGUAAUACGCUUGCGGAAAUUAGGGGUACUUAUCUGCUUAUUUACGGUAUACACCUGCUUGUGUGUAUUUAUGCGCAUGCGCCUGAGCUCAAGCGACGCCAUUUCGAAGCCUAUUGCCUGUCUUUUGCAUUUUGCUUAAAUAGAUUUUAUCUCCCUAAUCUCUAAUCGUUUGCGUAGCUAGUCUCAAUAUUUGCUUUUGCUAUUAAUCAAAAUACUAUUUCAAUUUUCAGACAGUAUUCAGUAAAUAUACAAUUAACUCAAUAAGUGUAAAUACGUAAAAUAAAAUAUAUUUAUCUUGUGUUG
Anoplophora glabripennis (Asian longhorned beetle) is the source of this 1587-nucleotide long non-coding RNA. RefSeq lists it as uncharacterized. NCBI's taxonomy places the organism in Eukaryota, Metazoa, Arthropoda, Insecta, Coleoptera, Cerambycidae. The transcript has 3 exons. The record is from RefSeq and is a predicted model, not a curated record.